CUAAGAUGAGCUCAACGAGAACAGAAAUCUCGUGUGGAACAAAAGGGUAAAAGCUCGUUUGAUUCUGAUUUCCAAUACGAAUACGAACCGUGAAAGCGUGGCCUAUCGAUCCUUUAGACCUUCGAAAUUUGAAGCUAGAGGUGUCACAAAAGUUACCACAGGGAUAACCGGCUUGUGGCAGCCAAGCGUUCAUAGCGACGUUGCUUUUUGAUCCUUCGAUGUCGGUACCUUGGUGCCUCGGAUAUGCAGGAG
RNAcentral lists this non-coding RNA (252 nucleotides) under Gossypium arboreum. Its description in RNAcentral is "Eukaryotic large subunit ribosomal RNA". It matches the Rfam family "Eukaryotic large subunit ribosomal RNA", at positions 2663 to 2913 of the family's 3401-position model. The record is from Rfam by way of RNAcentral. Lineage: Eukaryota; Viridiplantae; Streptophyta; Magnoliopsida; Malvales; Malvaceae.